Non-coding RNA from Hordeum vulgare subsp. vulgare (domesticated barley), 136 nucleotides. NCBI's taxonomy places the organism in Eukaryota, Viridiplantae, Streptophyta, Magnoliopsida, Poales, Poaceae. The record is from Rfam.
CUUAUACUUCCUCCGUCCCAAAAUUCUUGUCUUAGAUUUGUCUAAACAUAAAUGUAUGUAGUCACGUUUUAAUAUUUAAAUACAUCCAUUUUUAAACAAACCUAAGANNNGAAUUUUGGGACGGAGGAAGUAUAUA